Juglans microcarpa x Juglans regia is the source of this 703-nucleotide long non-coding RNA. RefSeq lists it as uncharacterized. The transcript has 2 exons. NCBI's taxonomy places the organism in Eukaryota, Viridiplantae, Streptophyta, Magnoliopsida, Fagales, Juglandaceae. The record is from RefSeq and is a predicted model, not a curated record.
AUCAAUUUUGUGACGUGAGCCACGUGACGAUCAUUUUCCGAUCCCAUUCCCACUAGUUAUCCACAGUGCAUUAUUGGACUGAACCGGACUAAUUUUAGCCGCACGCUGGCUCGUGAGUACAAUAUCUUAUGGAUUCAGACCCAUUUCAAUGACAAUCUCAAAACAAAUUAAAGAAAACAUUAGUCACAGAAGGAUUUUUUGUUUCUUUAGGUAGAUCAGGAUGCAAAACUUGUUCAUAAGAACAAUUUAAGAAUUAGCAAAACACUUCACAUCAGCAAUCAACUGAUAUACAAUUUUAUUACAUUUGAUCGCAUGAUCAGAAAGCUAUAAAGGAAAACAAAUUAAACAAACACACACACUCCCCAAGACUUUAUUUUAAGAGUAUAUACAAAACAUUUUUACCAAUAUCAUUAGCAAACGCGUGUGUAGGUACCACAGUUUUGUUUUGGCUUACUGCCGGUUUCAUCGGGAAGACAGCUUGCGUACUUUGGAGGUCGGUCACAGUCGGAAACUGCAGGCUUAUUACCGUUGUUAGUGCCCUCAGUGACACUCUGAUAGUCAGCAAGCAUCCUGCUUAUUUCCGAAUUGAAGAGCAGCUCUGGCUCCUCCAUGCGGCCCUGGUAAUCCAGGGCGGUGCGGGUACCGUUGUCAAGCUGGAUUGAAGAAGCAGUCGCUCCCCAACGAGUCGUGUGCGACGAGAAUA